Molecule: ribosomal RNA, 342 nt
Filed under: Staphylococcus aureus
Lineage: Bacteria; Bacillati; Bacillota; Bacilli; Caryophanales; Staphylococcaceae
Description: bacterial SSU rRNA
Rfam family: Bacterial small subunit ribosomal RNA
Source: RNAcentral
UAUAGAUGGAUCCGCGCUGCAUUAGCUAGUUGGUAAGGUAACGGCUUACCAAGGCAACGAUGCAUAGCCGACCUGAGAGGGUGAUCGGCCACACUGGAACUGAGACACGGUCCAGACUCCUACGGGAGGCAGCAGUAGGGAAUCUUCCGCAAUGGGCGAAAGCCUGACGGAGCAACGCCGCGUGAGUGAUGAAGGUCUUCGGAUCGUAAAACUCUGUUAUUAGGGAAGAACAUAUGUGUAAGUAACUGUGCACAUCUUGACGGUACCUAAUCAGAAAGCCACGGCUAACUACGUGCCAGCAGCCGCGGUAAUACGUAGGUGGCAAGCGUUAUCCGGAAUUAU